UACGAAGGGGGCUAGCGUUGCUCGGAAUCACUGGGCGUAAAGCGCACGUAGGCGGAUUUUUAAGUCAGGGGUGAAAUCCUGGAGCUCAACUCCAGAACUGCCUUUGAUACUGGGAAUCUCGAGUCCGGAAGAGGUGAGUGGAACUGCGAGUGUAGAGGUGAAAUUCGUAGAUAUUCGCAAGAACACCAGUGGCGAAGGCAAUCCCCUGGGCCUGCACUGACGCUCAUGCACGAAAGCGUGGGGAGCAAACAGG
RNAcentral lists this ribosomal RNA (253 nucleotides) under uncultured bacterium. Its description in RNAcentral is "partial 16S ribosomal RNA". It matches the Rfam family "Bacterial small subunit ribosomal RNA", at positions 524 to 776 of the family's 1533-position model. The record is from RNAcentral.